Molecule: ribosomal RNA, 225 nt
Filed under: Triticum aestivum (bread wheat)
Lineage: Eukaryota; Viridiplantae; Streptophyta; Magnoliopsida; Poales; Poaceae
Description: partial small subunit ribosomal RNA
Source: RNAcentral
AUGAAUAUCCUUAGUUGGAACUGCCGGGGAGGGGGAAAUCCCCGGACAGUUCGUGAGUUGGCGACUAUCUGCCAGUCGCAUUCCCCCAGCUUGGUGUUUUUGUGUGAAACAAGGCAGAGAGCGGACAAAAUGAAGAAGGUGCGAGGGAGGAUUGGUCUAAAGGGUUUUGUAGGAGUUGACAGUAAUGGCAUGAGCGGUGGUCUUGCGUUGUAUUGGCAUGAGAGU